Molecule: ribosomal RNA, 468 nt
Filed under: uncultured bacterium
Lineage: Bacteria
Description: partial 16S ribosomal RNA
Rfam family: Bacterial small subunit ribosomal RNA
Source: RNAcentral
GACGAACGCUGGCGGCGUGCUUAACACAUGCAAGUCGAACGGAAAGGCCCUACUUUUGUGGGGUGCUCGAGUGGCGAACGGGUGAGUGACACGUGAGUAACCUGCCCUUGACUUUGGUAUAACUUCAGGAAACUGGGCCUAAUACAGGAUAGGAUCUCCUGCUGCAUGGUGGGGGUUGGAAAUUUGCGGCUGGUGGGGAUGGACUCGCGGCUUAUGAGCUUGUUGGUUGGGGAGUGGCUUACCAAGGCUUUGACGGGUAGCCGGCCUGUGAGGGUGACCGGGGACAUUGGGCCUGCGAGAGGGCGCAGUGUCGAACGGGAGGCAGCAGUGGGGAAUAUUGCACAAUCGGAGCAAGUCUGAUGCAGCAACGCUGCGUGCGUAAUGACGGCCUUUGGGUUGUAAACAGCUUUCGCCUGUGACGACGCGUGAGUGACGGUAAUGGGUAAAGAAGCACCGGCUAACUACGUG